GACGAACGCUGGCGGCAUGCCUAACACAUGCAAGUCGAACGGAGAAUGUCAAAUGAAGUUUUCGGAUGGAUUUUGAUAUUCUUAGUGGCGGACGGGUGAGUAACGCGUGAGCAACCUGCCUUUCAGUGGGGGACAACAGUUGGAAACGACUGCUAAUACCGCAUAAUGUAUACGGAUCGCAUGGUCUGUAUACCAAAGAUUUAUCGCUUAAGGAUGGACUCGCGUCUGAUUAGAUAGUUGGUGAGGUAACGGCUCACCAAGUCGACGAUCAGUAGCCGAACUGAGAGGUUGAUCGGCCACAUUGGGACUGAGAUACGGCCCAGACUCCUACGGGAGGCAGCAGUGGGGAAUAUUGGGCAAUGGGGGAAACCCUGACCCAGCAACGCCGCGUGAAGGAAGAAAGGCUUUCGGGUUGGUAAACUUCUUUUACCUAGGGACGAAGAACGUGACGGU
Molecule: ribosomal RNA, 453 nt
Filed under: uncultured bacterium
Lineage: Bacteria
Description: bacterial SSU rRNA
Rfam family: Bacterial small subunit ribosomal RNA
Source: RNAcentral